RNAcentral lists this ribosomal RNA (903 nucleotides) under uncultured delta proteobacterium. RNAcentral describes it as "bacterial SSU rRNA". It matches the Rfam family "Bacterial small subunit ribosomal RNA", at positions 36 to 923 of the family's 1533-position model. The record is from RNAcentral. Lineage: Bacteria; Deltaproteobacteria.
CGGAGCGGGCGUGCUACCAUGCAGUCGAGCGAGAAGUCCUUCGGGAUGAGUAAAGCGGCGCACGGGUGAGUAACACGUGGGUAACCUACCCUAAGGUCUGGGACAACUCGGGGAAACUCGAGCUAAUACCGGAUAAGACCACGGUACGAGAGUGCUGUGGGAAAAGCGGGGGACCUCUUCGGAGGCCUCGCGCCUGAGGCUGGGCCCGCGGCCCAUCAGCUAGUUGGCGGGGUAAUGGCCCACCAAGGCUAAGACGGGUAGCUGGUCUGAGAGGACGAUCAGCCACACUGGAACUGAGACACGGUCCAGACUCCUACGGGAGGCAGCAGUGGGGAAUAUUGCGCAAUGGGCGAAAGCCUGACGCAGCAACGCCGUGUGAGCGAUGAAGGCCUUCGGGUUGUAAAGCUCUGUCGGGAGGAAAGACGGCCUUGCCGGUAAACAAUCGGUGAGGUUGACGGUACCUCCAAAGGAAGCACCGGCUAACUCUGUGCCAGCAGCCGCGGUAAGACAGAGGGUGCAAGCGUUGUUCGGAAUCAUUGGGCGUAAAGCGCGCGUAGGCGGUUUUGUAAGUCGGACGUGAAAGCCCAGGGCUUAACCCUGGAAGUGCAUCCGAAACUGCAGGACUUGAGUACCGGAGAGGGUGGUGGAAUUCCUGGUGUAGAGGUGAAAUUCGUAGAUAUCAGGAGGAACACCCGUGGCGAAGGCGGCCACCUGGACGGUCACUGACGCUGAGGCGCGAAAGCGUGGGUAGCAAACAGGAUUAGAUACCCUGGUAGUCCACGCUGUAAACGAUGGGUACUAGGUGCUGUGGGUAUUGACCCCUGCAGUGCCGUCGCUAACGCAUUAAGUACCCCGCCUGGGAAGUACGGCCGCAAGGCUAAAACUCAAAGAAUCGAAUUCCCG